GUAAGAUUACCCCCGAAAAAUAAAAUGACGAAGCAAUACCAUCCGUUGACUAAAUAUUACAACAUAAUACACCACAUUCAUUUGUUUAGCUUCAUUAGUCCAAUUGCAUUUUUAGCUUGCUUCUAUGAGAAUGAGAAAGAUAAAAACAAUCAGAUAAAUCGUGUUCAUGUUGGUAGUCCCACUAAUACAAAAUAUUGGAUAAAAUUUGGACAGUUGCAGUUGACAACAAAUACUUCAUCUUAUAUCCACCUAAAGAAAAGAAAAUCAAGCAUUAGUAUUAUUGGUAAGACUUACAUAUGGUAGUAUAACAAUCAUAAAAUUCAGCUAGUUUGCAUAUUCAGCAAAACAAUCAUAAAUUCAUUAAUUUUGGAGGAAAAAGAGGGGCAUAAAAUAUCAGCAUGGACUAAGAGGAGAAAGAAAAGAUUCAGACACGGUAGACCUAUUGAAAUGCCCCCAUCAAAGGCAUGUUCUAAAUCUGAAUUGGGUCUCUUCUUUUUAGCAAUCUAUAGCUAGGCAUUAAAUAAUGAUUUACAACCUUGGAGGACCUAUUUAGGGAUAUGAACCUUUAACCUAUUUCAUUGGAGGAGACUAUCUUCAUUGAUUUUGGUAUUGAUGUAAUAACUGAAAAGUGAUACACACCAAAUUUAAAAUAGAAAAUCUGCAAUAGAAGCACUACCAGUAAAUCACAAUUCACAACCAUACUCGCAUAUUCUGUGACUUAGGAGAGAUCAUGUAGUGGUAUUUCUAUUUCAAUCACCUGACCCUACUCUAUUCAUGAGAACAACUGCUAUCUAUGUUGAAUGAAUGCGUCCAGGUUACUACAAAAAUUUCUAGACAAAUUCUAACUUCUGCAAAUACUACUUCAAUUGCCUUAUUUCUAUUAUAUACUUACAAGCAACGACCAUCUCAUCAUGACCAUCUAUCGAAGAGAUGCACCAAAAAGAUCUGAAAAACAUAAAGCAGAUAAACGAACCUUCAAAAUAUAAGUUUUGAGUAGUAUUUAAACACAUGUUAAAGGAUACAAUGAAAAGAAGCAUAUUGCCAACGACAAGUCUGUUUUUUCAUUUCCUUGCAAAACUUACUAAUGACAAACUAAGUGAAUGUGUGGGCUAAAGAUGUUGCAACCUGAUCAUUCUAGAUAUGUCCAUGUUAUUGUCCUUGGUGGGGCUUCAGUGAGAGUUCAUCAUUUAUAAUUUGCUGCUUUUGAGGCUAGUGAAAAAUAUUCAACAUGUUGUGCGAGAGAUUUGGAAACAACAGUUAUCACUUAUCACAUGCCAUCAGUUCUUGCUCGAUCCUUAUCUAUAUGAAAUAAAGCGUGCGUCUAUACCGAUAAGUAGAUAUUGAUUGAUCUCAACUAAUCAAGGGGAAAAUGUUUGAUAUUUUGGUCAAUUCAAAAUAUCAUAAUAAAAAUACCCCCGUACCCUGACAACUUAAAAAAAGUGAAAAGAAGAAAGGAAUGUUGAGGCUAGGAAUGAAGUGCAAAGAGAAAACUGGAGAAAUAAAACUCACAUGCAGACAUCCACUAAUCAAACAAAUCAAAUGCUCAAAAAACAAAAUCAGAGAACAUAGCUUACCAAUUAAUACAAUCGCAGCACACCAGAUUGAUCGGCAAAGGACUGUCAAUCCAACUAAAGAAGAUACUAUCAUGUGACAGAAGCAUUAUUCAAAGUUCAAACUUGCCGCAAUUAUUACUCCCACCGUUCCAGUUUAUGUAAACCUAGCUAUUUCCUUUUUGGUCCGUUCCAAAAAGAAUGACCCCUUUCUAAAUUUGGAAACAAUUUAGCUUAAACUUCCAAUUCUACCCUUAAUGAGAAGCUUUUAUAACCACACAAAUACUCUGGUCCCCAUUUUGACUUGUUUAGGACCACAAAUUCUAAAAAAGUCAUCAUUUUUUCUUAAACUCCGUGAUCAGUCAAACAUGUUCACAUAAAUUGGAACAGAGGGAGUAUUAUUGAAAAAAAUGGAAGGGAAGGAAAAGAUAAAGCUGUAAUUUUGAUUACUUUUGCUCCACGCGUAUAGUAGUCACCGGAACAUCUAUGUACAAGAUAAAAAGUCAUAAGCAAGCUGCGGUAAGGACUUUAUUUUCCUGCAAAACAAUUGUUGAUGUAUAGAAAAACAUGUUACUAAUUUAUAUGAGGGAAUCAAUUAGGAUAUUUGCGAACGAACAUUUAAACUUGUUGCUAAAUUUUUAUGUUUGAGUAGCUUAGUAACUUUUAUUCUCUGUGUAAAAGCAUAGGAGUUAGCAGGACUUCAGAAUAUGCAAGCAUUUGAACUAUCUCGGAGGAGUUGAUUGAAAUAUUUCAAGAAUUUCUCAAGGAUUAAUCUUCAUUUCCUGCACAUACUCUAGUCCCUCUCGAGAUAGUAAUUCUGGGGUUUUCACAUUAUAAAAUGACAUAAAGAUGAUCUCCGAAUGAUCUUCUUAGCUGCUACUUGAUUUUCAAAUGUAUCAACCAAAUCAGACAACCCAAUGAAUGAAAGCUCUUAAUCUUCAUUAUACUCCAGCAUAGAGCGAUAAUGUCUCAAAUUCUAGAGUAAUCUUAAUAUCUCGUUCUGAACACUUAUGUCAUUUGAGUAUCAAAUAAAUCUCAGUUGUAACCUAAAAGCAACAACCAUAAAUUCCAGCUUUGUUUCUUUGAUACUAUGUUGUAGAUUAGUUUUAUGGAGUUACAACCAACAAAUCAGAAGUAGAAAGAUUCAAAAAAUGACGAAGAAACAAUAAUAAUUCAACGAUGAUAGAUAAACAAAAUUGAUUGUCCUUGUAAUAUUGCAUAGAUCAGAGAGCUAUUGUUGAAAUGUGAGACCCGUUUGGCCAUAGAUCACUUUUGACACGGAACCAACCCCCAGAGGAAACAGAGGGACAACAACACAAAACUGCAGCACAUCCCUAUUUUUAUUUCUAAAGCAAGAAAGAACAACGACACUGCCACUCUUCAAUUAAUUUCUAAAUCAAUUCCCAAAUAGAAUUUCAGUGCACCUUUAUCAUCUCUCAACGCAAUUCUAAUGUGCAAAGUCGCCCAAACCUGUAGAAGUAAGAGGUUCUUACUCCCAUGUAGUCUAAAUACUUUUUUUCUUACUAUUUUCUUCAAUCCUUUAUCUUCUUUUUUAUAACAAGAAUAAGUACAACUAUAGAUUUGUUGCCUAACAUAAACUUUUCCUAAGCAUUCAUCCCACAAAUCAAAGUAGGCAAAUAACUUUAAGCUUUUCCUAAUCAUGUAUAUUCCAAUCAAUCAACCUCCAUUCCAUACAUCAUCCUAUUUCUUUGGAUGCUGUCAUAGCCAAAAAGAAGUGACAAAAUAAGACGGUAAACUUUCCUCUUCCAUUGUUAUCUUCGAGAAAUAGAGUAAGACAGUGGACACAUAGAAGGUUUGAAGAUGAAAUUUCAUAAAGAUACCCCACGCCCUAGAUCACUUUCAGCAUUCUAAAGAUGCCAAGUGAAUGUAGAAAUUUGAAAGUUCUAAAAGAUGGAUAUAUAUUCUUUGUUCCGAGUUGGCGAUUUUGGUGUUAUAGAUGUAGUUUAUUGUAAGGUCUGUAAUGUUAUUUGAAAAGUGUUCAUGACGGCUAGUAAGAUGAUAAAGCCCAUAAUACUGUAUGUAAUACCCGAAAGAAUUGUACUCUAGCUAGUUUGUUGAACAUACCAUCACAAUCUCGGUGUUGUUUGUAAUUAGAAAAUUUACCUUUUUAAUCAAAAGCAAUAUAAGGAGAAAAUAUGGUCAAAGUAUAGAAUCAGAUAUGCUGAGCACAUUUUUCCUGAAAUAAAAAGAACUCAAUUUAGUAAAAAUUUUGAUUCAUAUCUUCUCAAGCUCAACCUGAGACUAUACUUUCCUAAAGUCGGAAUAGGAUCGUUCUCCACUUCACGAGAUUUUAAAAAGAACAACUUAAUUUUGUAAAUACUUCAUUAAUCAUUUUUCCCAAAUAAAGUUUUUAAACAUAUAAAAUCUCUAUAAGAAGACAAAAGUGAAAGAACACAAGUAUUUUUCUUGGCUGUACAUUAAAAAUAAAAAGAAUGCAUUUGAAACAUUAGUUUGCUAAUUUCAGUACUGUUGAAGAAGCCUUGUAAAACAUUAAAUUCGGAUAGCCUAACAUACAAUUAUUUCUUGUUAGCUAAGAAGUCCUUUAAAGUAUGCAUCAACUACCGUCAACAGUCAGAUAAAUAUUACUUCUCAUUUAAUUCUAUCCUCUCAUGUCUACAGCAGUUUAGAAAAUCCACAAAAUUGUUUAGAUCCUGGGGCCAUCUUACAAUUACACCAAGAAUACACAAACUGCAAUGACUUGAAUUGAAUACAUGCUAAGGCCCAAUAAGUAUUUUGAAAAAAACUAUAGUUUCUUUCCACAUUGUGCAAAAAAAGCACGAAGGAACUUAUUACUGGAUGUCUUUGUGAAUGUAAUAGAAAAUCUCAUGAAUUAAGCAUAAAAAACCUUUUGUUCUUGGGGAUAAUUGCAUUUUUAAUGAGUUACUAAUAUUGAAAAGGGGAAGUAAGUAAAAGUAAACCAAAAUGUGCAGAACUUACCUGGUACAAGUGAAGCAAUAUUCCUUUCCCCACUUUCAGUUAACAACUUCCUUUAAGAAAAAUCUGAAAAAUCAAUAUUUUGGGACCAUUAUAUUCCUACUAAAUGAAUACAAAAAUAUUCGGUAAUAUCAAAAGUUCAUAUUUCAAACAAAACCCAAGUAAGCGAUACACUAUUCAGUUUAAUAGAGUCUCGUCAAAAAAUAAUAAAAUAGGAGUAAUAAUUUUGAAAAAGAAGAAGAUAAACCCAAUUAAAGAACAUUGUGUGAGAAAAAUAUUGUGCAUGAGUAAAUCAAACAUAUCUACUGACAUGUAUGUAUAACAUUCAAUAAAAUACUGCCCAAAAGUUCAAGAUGCCCAAAAAAUUAUAUUAAAAACAGGAUCCAAACACAUGCAUAGCCGAGAAAACAGAGGAAGAUGCAAAGAAGGUGUCCAAUUCCCUGCUUCUUAGUAGGAGAAACUGAUAGAUAAGUCACCAAAGAAACCCCAAAUUUUCCAUCUUUCAAUUUUCUUUUUCAAACUUUCAGUUCAUACACUUUGAAAACCUAAAUAGACACAAUUCAAUAAUGUAGCCACAUAAGACUCACCAAUCCUUGUAACAUUAAAAAAAUUAGAAAUGGUAAAAGAUAAAAGAUAAAAGAUAUUCUCCAUCUUCAUAAUAGCCAAAGGUAACACAUAAAUAUUAAAAAAAUGAACCCAGAUGGGACUAAAUCUAAAAACUGAGCAAAAUAUUAACAGGGGGAAGAAGAAAAAGGCAUCAGCAAGAGAAAGAGUCGGUGGAAGGGAAAUUGAGAAAUGUAG
Molecule: long non-coding RNA, 5306 nt
Filed under: Nicotiana tabacum (common tobacco)
Lineage: Eukaryota; Viridiplantae; Streptophyta; Magnoliopsida; Solanales; Solanaceae
Description: long non-coding RNA (NTAB_LNC000839)
Source: RNAcentral